GCUGUAUAAAGAUGUAGCGAACGCAAGACAGUUCCGCAUCUCCCUUUACGGCGACGAACUCUUUAGAAGUCUUGGAAACAAUAUCCGUUGCGUGGCUGCGUGUCGAAACGGGUUGAUUCAGGAUGGAGUAGGUUCGCCGUAUGACCUUGGUUGAAAAACCUAAAGAUAAUCUUACAAUAUCACAAGGUUUACUUUGUGUAUGUUGGUAAGUUGCGGUUCC
This 220-nucleotide non-coding RNA is filed under the name unclassified sequences. The record is from Rfam.